Molecule: ribosomal RNA, 99 nt
Filed under: Amphilophus citrinellus (Midas cichlid)
Lineage: Eukaryota; Metazoa; Chordata; Actinopteri; Cichliformes; Cichlidae
Source: RNAcentral
GCUUAUGACCAUACCAUCCUGAACACUCCUGAAGCUAAGCAGGGUCAUGCCUGGCUAAGUAGAUGGGAGUCCCCCUGGGAACAUGAGGUGCUGAAAGCU